Molecule: long non-coding RNA, 2840 nt
Filed under: Strigops habroptila (Kakapo)
Lineage: Eukaryota; Metazoa; Chordata; Aves; Psittaciformes; Psittacidae
Description: lncRNA (ENSSHBG00005003184.1)
Source: RNAcentral
GGCACAGGCUCGCCCGCCGCCGGCGAGAUGGCCAUCUAAUACCCGCGGCAGCCGCCGCCGCAACUUUUCCGCUCCGCUCCUGCCCCUGCCGCGCCGGUGGAAGAUGGCAGUUGGGGGAAGGACUGGAAGUUGCAGCCCGCGAGCGAAGAGAUAAGGCGGAGGCGCGGGAAGAUUCACCCCACUUCUGGAAGAAAUCUGAAGAACCUGCCACGGUUUACACUGUCAACAAGUUACCAUUCCAUCAAGAGCAAUGAGCUCCACAACACCAGUGGAUGUGAAGUCAGAGGUUCCCGUGGGAUUAGAGCCUAUCUCACCAUUAGACUUGCGAACUGAUCUCAGGAUGAUGGUUCCCAUGGUGGACCCAAUUAUGCGUGAAAAGCAGCUACAGCAGGAACUACUUCUGAUCCAGCAGCAGCAGCAAAUUCAGAAACAACUGCUGAUUGCAGAGUUUCAGAAGCAGCAUGAAAACCUGACCCGCCAGCAUCAGGCCCAGCUCCAGGAGCACAUUAAGUUACAACAGGAACUCCUAGCCAUUAAACAACAGCAAGAACUCAUUGAAAAAGAGCAGAAACUGGAGCAGCAGAGACAAGAGCAGGAGCUGGAGAGGCAUCGCAGGGAACAACAGCUUCCUCCCCUCCGAGGCAAAGAAAGAGGCCGAGAAAGGGCAGUGGCCAGUACAGAAGUGAAGCAGAAACUUCAAGAGUUCCUGUUGAGUAAAUCGGCAACAAAAGACUCUCCAGCAAAUGGGAAGAAUCAUUCCAUGAGCCGCCACCCCAAGCUCUGGUACACGGCUGCCCACCAUACCUCACUGGAUCAAAGCUCUCCACCCCUGAGCGGGGCCUCGCCACCGUACAAAUACACUUUACCAGGAGCACAGGAUGCCAAGGAUGAUUUUCCACUUCGUAAAACGGCUUCAGAGCCCAAUUUGAAGAUACGUUCAAGGUUAAAACAAAAGGUGACAGAAAGAAGAAGCAGUCCUUUACUCAGGAGGAAGGAUGGAAAUGUCAGUUCAUUCAAGAAACGACUCUUUGAGGUGACAGAAUCCUCAGUCAGUAGCAGCUCCCCUGGAUCAGGUCCCAGUUCCCCAAGCAAUGGUCCGACCAGCAGUAUAGCAGAAAAUGAAAACUCAGUUUUGCCAUCUAACAUUCAAGCUGAGCAUCUGGUUUCACAGCAACGGCUUUUGAUACAGGAUGAAUCGGUGAACUUGCUGAGUUUGUACACAUCCCCUUCUCUGCCCAACAUUACCUUGGGACUUCCAGCAGUGCAACCUCAAAUCAGUGCUUCAUCAUCAUUCAAAGAAAAGCAGAAGGGGGAGACCCAGUCGCUCAGACAAGGACUGGCCUUGGCUGGACAGUAUGGGGGGAACAUGCCUCCAUCCUCAACUCAUCCUCACGUUGCUUUGGAGGGAAAGCCAAAUAGCAGCCACCAGGCUCUCUUGCAGCAUCUGUUACUGAAAGAACAAAUGAGACAGCAAAAACUUCUUGUGACUGGAGCGGUUCCUCUUCAUCCACAGUCUCCUUUAGCAGCAAAGGAGAGAGUCUCGCCUGGCAUACGAGCUGCCCACAAACUGCCUCGUCACAGGCCACUGAAUCGAACCCAGUCAGCCCCUCUUCCUCAGAGUACUUUGGCCCAGCUAGUUAUCCAGCAGCAACAUCAACAAUUUUUGGAGAAGCAGAAACAGUACCAGCAGCAGAUCCACAUGAAUAAGAUGCUCUCUAAGUCCAUUGAGCAGCUCAAGCAGCCUGGCAGUCACCUGGAGGAGGCUGAAGAAGAGCUUCAUGGAGAUCACUCGAUGCAGGAAGAGCAAGCUCCCACCGGCGGUGCCAGCAUUAGGGUUGAGAGCAGCAGUGCUGGUGUGGAUGACAGAAUAGGACAGCAGGUGGGGGCUGUGAAAGUCAAAGAGGAGCCACCGGACAGUGAUGAGGAUGUUCAGACCCAGCAAAUGGAAUCUGGGGAGCAAGCUCCUUUUAUGCAACAGGUAAUAGGCAAAGAUUUAGCUCCAGGAUUUGUAAUUAAGGUUAUUAUCUGAGCAUCAAAUGCAUUUUCUAGGCUUUGGUAAGCAGUUGUGUUUUGAUUCACUGAUCUAGCAAAUCCUGAUUUACUGUUCAAAGAAUCUAACAAAGGCAGAAGUUCUGUAUGCACACUUGAAAACAUAGUGAAGCUCAUCCUUAUGGCCACUAAUUGAGAAAAUACCUGUUGCAGUCACUUAUUCUAUAUAAAUCUUUGCAUAAUAGCUGAUAGACUUUGUAUUAGCCCAGACUUCGUAUUAUGUUACAUCGCUUAGUUCUAGUGAAAGAGAACUCAUAUCACCUAGCUUGUUGAGAUCAGCAAUUGCUGGAAUUAGUUUCCAGUCCUGAUUGAUGAAACAUUCUCCUUCUCUGAUUUUGAAUCCUCUGACUUUUGCUUUCAGCUGUCUGUAUAUACUGUAUCAUACUGUAGUCUUGAACACUGUUGAUAACCUUAGGGUAUUUUUUCCCCAGUAGACAGGUACUGACUGCUAUAUCAGUGGUCCCAGGCUGAUGUAUAAAGUUUAAUUUAGAGAAGAGGUGGAUGCAAUUUACAGGGUGGAUGUAAAGAGGCAAGGCAAGGCACUGUUCAAAAUUGCAUUGUUUUUUUUGCACUGCUUAGUUAAUUUUUCAUUCUGUCUUAUUUGAUGAUGCAGUCCACAGAGACAUCCUUAAAUGCAGCAGAUGCAAGUACUGGCGAAAAGCAAAAGGCAGCAUUAGGUUGCAAUUAGUUGCUAGGAUAUUGCAGGAAGAGCACAGAACUGUUAUCAUUAUCAACUGAUACCCGAUCACUUGUUUGUAAUUUUAAAUAAAGACUAAUCAUACAAUAUGGCA